This 903-nucleotide long non-coding RNA is filed under the name Anas platyrhynchos platyrhynchos (common mallard). Its description in RNAcentral is "lncRNA (ENSAPLG00000028907.1)". The record is from RNAcentral. Lineage: Eukaryota; Metazoa; Chordata; Aves; Anseriformes; Anatidae.
AGUUUCAGCCUACUUUUAUGAUUUGUGUUUUUAAAUAAUUAUUCCUUAACAGCGUCAGGCAAAACUCUGAAUCUCCCUUCUAUUUGUCAGCAGUUUGAGCUCCAUCCUGAAUCUAUCAUGUGACAAAGGGAUCAGCUUCUAAGAGGUCAAUCACCUAAAAACAGAGAGACAUUACCUUCUGCAGCAGCACUGGGAUCUGAAUGCUGGUUCCUGAGUCCUCUGAAACGUGAAGAUUUGGGGGACUGCUCUCCCCCAGCUCUCUCUAUACCUCCUCUCAGCUUUUCCCUUCCUCAGAAAGAUGCAAAACUGGACUCCAAGGACUCGGUUUCUGGUCUUUCUCCAUACAGAAAUAAGUGGGAUCGAGUGAAAGCCAUACACAAUCUAUCCAAGGAACUCGCAGAGAAGAUUGAGAUGUCAACCAAGAGACUCAGUGCAACAAGCAGGGCUGGGGACUUUGCUGACAAAACAGCAGCAGAGACAACUUGGGACCUUUUCAACAAGUCUUCUAUCACGGAGCCUGAGACUUCCAAGGAUGAGCAAGACAGGACCAUGACCUUACAAAUGCUUCUGGGAGACCCAGAUCCUGCUGAGUUACGUGUGUCCUCAGACAGGGCAUUUCAUGGGCUGGGCAGGAUCGGCCUUGUGGGCACUGAGGGAGCAACGAGCCAGGCCAGCCAGAAGAAAAUACCCACUGCUUUGUCUGGGGGGAGUGCUGGGGGCAAGGAAUUACCAUGGAACACCCACAGCAUGAAAUCAAGGCAUCUCAGCCCUGGGGAACACAGGAGCAGCACACUGAAAGGUUUCCCUAUGAAUAAAGGCUCCGAGGUGGACAUGAGCCUACUGCAUGAAAAGCCAAUAACCAGCCCAGCCUUUCCAUCUCGUGGAUUCCUCACUAGAAGGUAA